RNAcentral lists this ribosomal RNA (254 nucleotides) under uncultured bacterium. RNAcentral's name for it is "partial 16S ribosomal RNA". It matches the Rfam family "Bacterial small subunit ribosomal RNA", at positions 524 to 776 of the family's 1533-position model. The record is from RNAcentral.
GACAGAGGGUGCAAACGUUGCUCGGAAUUACUGGGCGUAAAGGGCUCGUAGGCGGCCAACUAAGUCAGACGUGAAAUCCCUCGGCUUAACCGGGGAACUGCGUCUGAUACUGGAUGGCUUGAGUUUGGGAGAGGGAUGCGGAAUUCCAGGUGUAGCGGUGAAAUGCGUAGAUAUCUGGAGGAACACCGGUGGCGAAGGCGGCAUCCUGGACCAACACUGACGCUGAGUGAGCGAAAGCCAGGGGAGCAAACGGG